GCAGCCGCAGCGAGGCCUCUCUCGUCUCCAAUAGCUCCGGCGAGUCGCGCGAAGCGGCAGGCUUCGAGUAGCCGCCGCCUCCUCCGUUCCCCUCUCCUCUCCCCUUUCCGACUAACGAAUUCGGCUCAGCCGCACCCCUCUCUCACUCCCGACCUAUCCCAGACCGGCGCUGCAACAACAGGUCGCGCCACCAUCCCGACCGAUGCGCCGCCUCGAUCAGCAGCAAUAACAGCAGGUCACAGCAGCAGCGCAUAGGCGGCAAUAGCUGCAAACUCCGACAGCAGCUACAAACAGAGGGAGUAUACAUCAAAACUCACUGCGGCAGUGACGGAUUAAGAGGUGUUGAAAGGGUUGAUUUUGCGGGCUAGGCGACUGAGGAAGCUCAACAUCAAAAAAGUUGAUACAAGCUUCUUUCAUCAAAGUAGGAGAUAAGA
Solanum tuberosum (potato) is the source of this 434-nucleotide long non-coding RNA. RefSeq lists it as uncharacterized. The transcript has 2 exons. The record is from RefSeq and is a predicted model, not a curated record. Lineage: Eukaryota; Viridiplantae; Streptophyta; Magnoliopsida; Solanales; Solanaceae.